UCCUACGGGAGGCAGCAGUGGGGAAUCUUGGACAAUGGGCGCAAGCCUGAUCCAGCCAUGCCGCGUGUGUGAUGAAGGCCUUAGGGUCGUAAAGCACUUUCGCCAGAGAUGAUAAUGACAGUAUCUGGUAAAGAAACCCCGGCUAACUCCGUGCCAGCAGCCGCGGUAAUACGGAGGGGGUUAGCGUUGUUCGGAAUUACUGGGCGUAAAGCGCACGUAGGCGGAUUAGUCAGUCAGAGGUGAAAUCCCAGGGCUCAACCCUGGAACUGCCUUUGAUACUGCUAGUCUUGAGUUCGAGAGAGGUGAGUGGAAUUCCGAGUGUAGAGGUGAAAUUCGUAGAUAUUCGGAGGAACACCAGUGGCGAAGGCGGCUCACUGGCUCGAUACUGACGCUGAGGUGCGAAAGUGUGGGGAGCAAACAGGAUUAGAUACCCUGGUAGUCCACACCGUAAACGAUGAAUGCCAGUCGUCGGGUAGUAUACUAUUCGGUGACACACCUAACGGAUUAAGCAUUCCGCCUGGGGAGUACGGUCGCAAGAUUAAAACUCAAAGGAAUUGACGGA
RNAcentral lists this ribosomal RNA (562 nucleotides) under uncultured Alphaproteobacteria bacterium. RNAcentral's name for it is "bacterial SSU rRNA". It matches the Rfam family "Bacterial small subunit ribosomal RNA", at positions 337 to 917 of the family's 1533-position model. The record is from RNAcentral. Lineage: Bacteria; Pseudomonadati; Pseudomonadota; Alphaproteobacteria.